UCCCUGCUGGCUCAAGUGGAAAAGCAUCUGACUGCAAUGCAGGGGACCCGGGUUCAAUCCCUGGGUCUGGAA
Molecule: transfer RNA, 72 nt
Filed under: Bos grunniens (domestic yak)
Lineage: Eukaryota; Metazoa; Chordata; Mammalia; Artiodactyla; Bovidae
Also listed under: 1 other name
Rfam family: tRNA
About the family: Transfer RNA (tRNA) molecules are approximately 80 nucleotides in length. Their secondary structure includes four short double-helical elements and three loops (D, anti-codon, and T loops).
Source: Rfam by way of RNAcentral